Molecule: long non-coding RNA, 448 nt
Organism: Bombina bombina (fire-bellied toad)
Lineage: Eukaryota; Metazoa; Chordata; Amphibia; Anura; Bombinatoridae
Exons: 3
Source: RefSeq, a predicted model, not a curated record
GGGUCAAGCAUGGAUGGAAGAAAUAUUCUUCUGCUACAGAAUUGAUUGGUGUCAUUUACACAACAGUGGCUUGGGGAAUGGUUUUAGACUAGACCACCUAACCUGAAGCAGAUAUUUUACAUUUGCAUAUCAGUAACAAACGGGAUGUCAGUUUUUGGCAGGAUUGACAAGUAUAUAUGGAUAAAGAAAAACUUCAGACACACAUGCUCUUCCUCAUUGCAAGUGAUGAAGUCCCUGAGCACUGGAUGUCUCUAGGAAAGAAAUUAAAUCUUCUGUCUCAGUAACAGUGAACAUUCAUCUUGUUUGCAGUAAAUGCUGUUCCUCUCUGGUCUCAUCUCAGCCCUAGCUCUGGCUAUCUAUCUUCAUUUACUGCAAUGCUGAAACAGACAUAACCACAGACAAAGACAAGAUUGGGGUCUACUGCAUCUUCUGUAAUACUAACCAAUUU